Molecule: long non-coding RNA, 1626 nt
Organism: Anser cygnoides (Swan goose)
Lineage: Eukaryota; Metazoa; Chordata; Aves; Anseriformes; Anatidae
Source: Ensembl
CAACGUCACCCCUGAGGCCAACGUCACCCCUGAGGACAGUGUCACCCGCGGGACCAGCGUCACCCACGGGACCAGCGUCCCCCAUGAGGCCAACGUCACCCGUGGGACCGCGCCCCCCCCCGACGCCGCCGUCCCCUCUGGAGCCGCUGUCCCCGCCGGGUGGCCCGGACCUGGCGCUGGACGAGCUGGACGUCACCGAGCUGGCCCUGGCCGCCGGGCUCCUCGUCCCCCCGGGCCCGGUGACGGGGGACAGCAGCGAGGACGAGGAGGGGGCGCGGGGCGGCCCCCGGGGGCGCUACUACCGCUUCGCCCGCACCGUGGUGACGCGGGAGCCGCCCCCGCCAUCGCCGUGUCCCCUCCCGCUGCCCCACAUCGACCAGCUGGACGGGGUGGACGACGGGGACAAGGGGGCGCGGGGACGGCGGGACGGGGCGCCCCCGGUGCCGCCCCCCCCGCCCCCGCCGCCGGUGCCACCGCCCGCCGCCGAGGACCUGCCCUCGGACAUCGUCGACUUCGUCCUGAAGAACAUGGCGAGGGACGGCGCCAAGGCCAGCGCCACGCGGCCCGCGGGGGCGGGCGUCAACGGCGACAGCGGCGGUGGCACCCAGUGGGUGACGGAAGAGCCCGCCCGGCGCCCUGCCGGGGGGUGGGGGGCACGGGACGGCCACCCCGGGGUGCCCCGCGGCGGGGACGCGGACGCGGGUGACGGAGGUGGCGCCUACGGGGAGGUCACCGGUGGACGCGGCAACCGCGGGGGUGGCACCCAUGGGCGCAUCGUCGAUGGCCACCGCCUCCUCGGAGAUGCCACCAACGGCCACGCCACCCGUGAAGACGCCACCCGCAGAGACCCCACCCACGAAGGCGUCACCCACGAAGGCGUCACCCCUGGAGACCCCACCCACGAAGACGUCGCCCACCACAACGGCACCCACGGCCACGCCGCCACCCACGGGCGCCACCACGCCGACGCCGCCCGCCGCGGCGCCACCUUCUGCGCCAGCACCCACGGCCGCGUCACCCGCCUCAGCGCCACCCGGCACAGCGCCGCCCUGGGCGAGGCCGCCUGGGGGGCACCCUGGGGACCCGCCGGGGCGCCCAACACCCAAGGGGGGGCACCCAGCACCCAAGGGGGGGCACCCAAGCGCCCCGGGGAGACGCUGGGUCCGGGUGCCAAGAGGCCCAAGCUGGAGGCCACCGACGAUGAAGAAGGGGACACCAAGGACGCGCUGGCCACCGGGCUGGGCCAGGUCCCCGUACCACCACUGCCACCGCUCCGGGACCUGCUGGACGUCAAGGAGGAGCCCGAGGACCUCAGCGACACCGGGAGCUACGGGUCCCCUCCGGGCCCGUCGCCCUCCCCUGGCUGCAGCCCCCCCCGGAGUGACGGCGCCUUGGAGCCCCCCUGGGCCGCCUGUGCAGGUAGGGGCACCCAUGGGUGCCACUGGGGUGGGGUGGGAGACACCCCUGUGGGACACCAGCUUCAGGUGGGGGCACCCAUGGGUGCCACUGGGGUGGGGUGGGGGACACCCCUCUGGGACACCAGCUUCAGGUGGGGGCACCCAUGGGUGCCAUUGGCUUGAGGUAGGGGACACCCUUGGGUGCUACCAGCUGGUGUAGGGGGCACCC